UGACACUGCUUUUUUUGCCAGAUGUCCCUAGACACAUCUGAAUCUCUUUUAGUCUCAAGCUGGAGCCUUUUUCACCAUUGCACAAAAAGCUGGGUAUAGUUCAAAUUCCUGACUGUAUAUUCUGAUUCCCCUGGGCAUUUACACUCUGCCAUCCCACACAGUUCCCCCUCCUGUGUGAGGGUCCUAUUGCAAUUCAUUAGCGUGCUUUUUUUUUUUUUUUUUUUUUUUUUUUUGCUUUUUGUUUUGGAGACGGAGUCUUGCUCUGUCCCUCAGGCUGGAGUGCAGCGGCGCCAUCUCAGCUGAAUGCAACCUCUGCCUCCUGGGUUCAAGAGAUUCUCCUGCCUCAGCCUCCCAAGUAGCUGGGAUUACAGGUGCGUGCCACCACGCCUGGCUAAUUUUUUGUAUUUUUAGUAGAGACAGGGUUUCACCGUGUUAGCCAGGAUGACCUUGAUCUUCUGACCUCGUGAUCCUCCCACCUCAGCCUCCCAAAGUGCUGGGAUUACAGGCGUGAGCCACAGCGCCCGGCCUUCAGCGUGCUUUUUUUUUUAAUGGUUUGCUAUAUUUACAUCUGGUUUCUCCUUCUGAAUGAGAAGGAUGGAGCAAAUGCCCCAGAUGAAGCCUACACGACAUGAGUCAGAGAACUUUGGCCAGGAUGUCUGGGGAAAAAGUUUCCUCUUUCUUCUCUGGGAACUAUCUGGAGAGGGUUGUUUUAACGCUGGAUGUGAACAGCGACUCGUGUAGCCCCAGAAGCCUCUGACAGCCGCGUUGGAAUCAUAAGUUCUCAAAAUGAAGAACGCAAAAGAUUCUUCAAAAUCAAACUGUGUCCGGAAUUGGUGGGUUCUUGGUCUCACUGACUUCAAGAAUGAAGCCACGGACCCUGGCGGUGAGUGUUACAGCUCUUAAGGUGGCGUUUCUGGAGUCUGUCCCUUCUGAUGUUCAGAUGUGUUCGGAGUUUCUUCCUUCUGGUGGGUUCGUGGUCUCGCUGGCUCAGGAGUGAAGCUGCAGAUCUUCACGGUUGCUAGUAACACAAUAAUAAAGCUGCUUUAUUUUCCAGUGAAGAUGUAUGUGAUAGGGAGUGGAGGAAGAAAAAGGCCAGAAAAUUCCAUAGUUAGCAAAUAUACCUUUCUUACUUAAAAUUCUUUUUCCAAUGUGAGCCUUCUAAAGAGUUACUGAGAAAUUAGGUGAGCUCACCUCAUUUAAUGCAAUAGAUAUGUUUCUGAAAAAUAAGCAAUACAUAGGACAUUGGCCAAUUAAGAAUUCUGAUGAAGAAGAAUUUUCACAUCCGAAAGAGUAAAAAUGAAAAACGGUACAAAUGUAGUGGCUUUUAAAUUUCAAAACAAAUUAUUUUGAUAAGAUAAAUAUUCCUCUCAUAAAGUGAAAAUGGAAGAGACUGCUUGCUGGGUGUUCGUCAAAAUGGAGUUAGAUGGUCUGUCCCAGACUCCCCUGUUGUUAGUUCUGAGAACAGAAGUAAUGGUGCUUCUUCAGGACUGGCUCAUAGAAACCUGCCGUGUUCAGCCCCCACAAUCCUCUCCCUUCUGCUGGCUGGAAACAAAUGACAACGAAGCCUCACGUCUUGGAGAAACCACACUGCUGAGGAACUCAAGUCCUAGAAGAACCAUUUGAAGAGACCCAUCUCACUAAAGAAAAUCACACAAGCAAGAAGUAAACUUCAUUGUAUCUAUGUAUUUAAUUGUCAUAACAGUCUACCUUAACUGAUACAGCAAAAAUUCGCUCCUUUUCUGGACACCCAGUUUCAAAAUCUCAGUGUCAUUUUUUACUUCUCUCUUUUCAGGUUGUUUAAUAUAAUAAAAUUUGUGUGUGUGUGUGUGUGUGUGUGACAAGGUCUUGCUCUGUUGCCCAGGCUGGAGUGCAAUGGCACGCUCCCAGCCCACUACAGCCUUGACCUCCAAGCUCAAGUGUUCCUCCCACCUCAGCCUCCAGAGUAACUGGGACUACAGGCAUGGGCCACCACACCCGGCUAAUUUUUGUACUUUUUGUAGAGACAGG
RNAcentral lists this long non-coding RNA (2007 nucleotides) under Homo sapiens (human). RNAcentral describes it as "non-protein coding lnc-ZC3H11B-1:6". The record is from RNAcentral. Lineage: Eukaryota; Metazoa; Chordata; Mammalia; Primates; Hominidae.